AGGGCGUGGGGGCUAUACAUGCAAGUCGAGCGAAUGGAUUAAGAGCUUGCUCUUAUGAAGUUAGCGGCGGACGGGUGAGUAACACGUGGGUAACCUGCCCAUAAGACUGGGAUAACUCCGGGAAACCGGGGCUAAUACCGGAUAACAUUUUGAACUGCAUGGUUCGAAAUUGAAAGGCGGCUUCGGCUGUCACUUAUGGAUGGACCCGCGUCGCAUUAGCUAGUUGGUGAGGUAACGGCUCACCAAGGCAACGAUGCGUAGCCGACCUGAGAGGGUGAUCGGCCACACUGGGACUGAGACACGGCCCAGACUCCUACGGGAGGCAGCAGUAGGGAAUCUUCCGCAAUGGACGAAAGUCUGACGGAGCAACGCCGCGUGAGUGAUGAAGGCUUUCGGGUCGUAAAACUCUGUUGUUAGGGAAGAACAAGUGCUAGUUGAAUAAGCUGGCACCUUGACGGUACCUAACCAGAAAGCCACGGCUAACUACGUGCCAGCAGCCGCGGUAAUACGUAGGUGGCAAGCGUUAUCCGGAAUUAUUGGGCGUAAAGCGCGCGCAGGUGGUUUCUUAAGUCUGAUGUGAAAGCCCACGGCUCAACCGUGGAGGGUCAUUGGAAACUGGGAGACUUGAGUGCAGAAGAGGAAAGUGGAAUUCCAUGUGUAGCGGUGAAAUGCGUAGAGAUAUGGAGGAACACCAGUGGCGAAGGCGACUUUCUGGUCUGUAACUGACACUGAGGCGCGAAAUGCUGGAACCGCC
RNAcentral lists this ribosomal RNA (754 nucleotides) under Bacillus thuringiensis. RNAcentral describes it as "bacterial SSU rRNA". It matches the Rfam family "Bacterial small subunit ribosomal RNA", at positions 38 to 772 of the family's 1533-position model. The record is from RNAcentral. Lineage: Bacteria; Bacillati; Bacillota; Bacilli; Caryophanales; Bacillaceae.